Humulus lupulus (European hop) is the source of this 331-nucleotide long non-coding RNA. RefSeq lists it as uncharacterized. The transcript is spliced from 4 exons. The record is from RefSeq and is a predicted model, not a curated record. NCBI's taxonomy places the organism in Eukaryota, Viridiplantae, Streptophyta, Magnoliopsida, Rosales, Cannabaceae.
UCUUCCUCAUAACACCAAACAGAGAGAGCACACCAAACAGAGAGCACGAAAGGGGCUGCGAUUUUAGGGUUUUCAAGGUUGUGAUUUUGGUGGUGAGAUUUUAGAGAGUACUUUGCAUCAAAACUUCUAUAUCUAUCAAUCACACAUUUGAGAUGGUUAGGUCACUAUUAUAGGGGAAAUGCUGCCCGAUAUUAUUUAGGAUAAUAAACAAUUAGUUGAGAACGGGCAUUACUUGAUUGAACAUGCAAGUCCCAGGCAUUACUUGAGAACGCUAACAAGCACAUCAUAUACAGAGGCACAAAUUGAUGAGUUGCGACAAGAAUGGGCGACA